CUCGAACCUUCGGCCUCGGACGUGCAAUGAUCAGCUCUCGAGUUCUCUCAAAGCUCUCCUCCGUUUGCAUAAGCCUUUGUAAACACAAUAAACAUCUUCUAUUU
Long non-coding RNA from Xenia sp. Carnegie-2017, 104 nucleotides. RefSeq lists it as uncharacterized. The transcript has 3 exons. NCBI's taxonomy places the organism in Eukaryota, Metazoa, Cnidaria, Anthozoa, Malacalcyonacea, Xeniidae. The record is from RefSeq and is a predicted model, not a curated record.